This 443-nucleotide ribosomal RNA is filed under the name uncultured bacterium. RNAcentral's name for it is "partial 16S ribosomal RNA". It matches the Rfam family "Bacterial small subunit ribosomal RNA", at positions 338 to 795 of the family's 1533-position model. The record is from RNAcentral.
CCUACGGGAGGCAGCAGUGGGGAAUAUUGCACAAUGGGGGAAACCCUGAUGCAGCAACGCCGCGUGAAGGAAGACGGUUUUCGGAUUGUAAACUUCUAUCAAUAGGGAAGAAAGAAAUGACGGUACCUAAAUAAGAAGCUGCGGCUAACUACGUGCAAGCAGCCGCGGUAAUACGUAGGGGGCAAGCGUUAUCCGGAAUUACUGGGUGUAAAGGGAGAGUAGGCGGCAAGGUAAGCGAUAUGUGAAAGCCUUAAGCUUAACUUAAGGAUGGCAUAACGAACUAGCUAGCUAGAGUACAGGAGAGGAAAGCGGAAUUCCUAGUGUAGCAGUGAAAUGCGUAGAUAUUAGGAGGAACACCAGUGGCGAAGGCGGCUUUCUGGACUGAAACUGACGCUGAGGCUCGAAAGCGUGGGGAGCGAACAGGAUUAGAUACCCCGGUAGUC